This 583-nucleotide long non-coding RNA is filed under the name Pan troglodytes (chimpanzee). RNAcentral's name for it is "lncRNA (ENSPTRG00000053923.1)". The record is from RNAcentral. Lineage: Eukaryota; Metazoa; Chordata; Mammalia; Primates; Hominidae.
AUUUCAGACUGUAAUAUGGGCAAAUCCCACCUACCAUAAAAGCUGGCAAUACUUGCCUAAUAUUGAAGGAAGGAGACAUUUAGAGCAAGCCAGGGAGCUGGAACACCGGAUCAGGAACAGACACUUCUCCACAAGUUUAGAGUUUGGUAUUUCUCAAGUCCUGGCCUGAGGGAUGUUUACUCUCAGGUUAUACAAAGUCCCAGCUUGGGUUCUGGAAAAAUUGAACUGACAACUUUGCCUGAAAGAAGUUUCUUGCUAACUCCUACGUACAUCUUGAUUUUAUUAGACCAUGGCUAUUAUUGUGAGGUUUAUUCAGAGCAAUGAAGAUGUCACUCACCGUGUCAAAUUCAUAGGAAAGAAGGUGAGAAUGAGGCCACUGAAGUCAUCUUGGCUUGGUUUACUUAAGCCUGGGCAAACAGGGAAAAGGGCACUGGAGAUUUGCAUAGAGUCAUAAAAUGUUAGCGCUAGAAGGUGCCUUGAAGACCACGAUGAGUUAACUUUCUUCCUUUGCCAAGGAAGAAGCGAUUACUUCAGCAACUGGUGGGUAUCUCUUAUAUACGAGUGUUAUGCUCACUGUGCUUUU